RNAcentral lists this ribosomal RNA (497 nucleotides) under uncultured bacterium. Its description in RNAcentral is "partial 16S ribosomal RNA". It matches the Rfam family "Bacterial small subunit ribosomal RNA", at positions 28 to 507 of the family's 1533-position model. The record is from RNAcentral.
GAUGAACGCUGGCGGCGUGCCUAAUACAUGCAAGUCGAGCGAACGGACGAGAAGCUUGCUCCUCUGAUGUUAUCGGCGGACGGGAGAGUAACAUGUGGAUAACCUACCUAUAAGACUGGGAUAACUUCGGGAAACCGGAGCUAAUACCGGAUGAUAUUUCGAACCUCAUGGUUCAAAAGUGAAAGACGGUCUUGCUUUCGCUUAUAGACGGAUCCGCGCUGCAUUAGCUAGUUGGUAAGGUAACGGCUUACCAAGGCAACGAUGCAUAGCCGACCUGAGAGGGUGAUCGGCCAGCUUGGAACUGAGAAACGGUCCAGACUCCUACGGGAGGACGCGGUAGGGAAUCUUACGCAAUGGAGGAGAGCGUGACGGAGCAACCCCGCGUGAGUGAUGAAGGUCUUCGGAUGGUAAAACUCUGUUAUUAGGGAAGAACAUAUGUGUAAGUAACUGUGCACAUAUUGACGGUACCGAAUCAGAAAGCCACGGCUAACUACGUG